RNAcentral lists this non-coding RNA (29 nucleotides) under Rattus norvegicus (Norway rat). The record is from RNAcentral. Lineage: Eukaryota; Metazoa; Chordata; Mammalia; Rodentia; Muridae.
UGCCAGUCUUGAAGGUAGAGAAGGCUGUC